GAUGAACGCUGGCGGCGUGCCUAAUACAUGCAAGUCGAGCGAACAGACGAGGAGCUUGCUCCUCUGACGUUAGCGGCGGACGGGUGAGUAACACGUGGAUAACCUACCUAUAAGACUGGGAUAACUUCGGGAAACCGGAGCUAAUACCGGAUAAUAUAUUGAACCGCAUGGUUCAAUAGUGAAAGACGGUUUUGCUGUCACUUAUAGAUGGAUCCGCCGCAUUAGCUAGUUGGUAAGGUAACGGCUUACCAAGGCAACGAUGCGUAGCCGACCUGAGAGGGUGAUCGGCCACACUGGAACUGAGACACGGUCCAGACUCCUACGGGAGGCAGCAGUAGGGAAUCUUCCGCAAUGGGCGAAAGCUUGACGGAGCAACGCCGCGUGAGUGAUGAAGGUCUUCGGAUCGUAAAACUCUGUUAUUAGGGAAGAACAAAUGUGUAAGUAACUAUGCACGUCUUGACGGUACCUAAUCAGAAAGCCACGGCUAACUACGUG
This 495-nucleotide ribosomal RNA is filed under the name uncultured bacterium. Its description in RNAcentral is "partial 16S ribosomal RNA". It matches the Rfam family "Bacterial small subunit ribosomal RNA", at positions 28 to 507 of the family's 1533-position model. The record is from RNAcentral.